This 425-nucleotide ribosomal RNA is filed under the name uncultured bacterium. Its description in RNAcentral is "bacterial SSU rRNA". It matches the Rfam family "Bacterial small subunit ribosomal RNA", at positions 355 to 796 of the family's 1533-position model. The record is from RNAcentral.
UAGGGAAUUUUCCACAAUGGGGGCAACCCUGAUGGAGCAACGCCGCGUGCAGGAUGAAUGCCUUCGGGUUGUAAACUGCUUUUAUCUGUGACGAAUAUGACGGUAGCAGAUGAAUAAGGAUCGGCUAACUCCGUGCCAGCAGCCGCGGUCAUACGGAGGAUCCAAGCGUUAUCCGGAAUUACUGGGCGUAAAGAGUUGCGUAGGUGGCAAAGUGUGUCGGUAGUGAAAGCGUGGGGCUCAACCCCAUAUACAUUAUCGAAACUGCUUAGCUAGAGGACGAGAGAGGUUAUUGGAAUUCCCAGUGUAGGAGUGAAAUCCGUAGAUAUUGGGAGGAACACCGAUGGCGUAGGCAGAUAACUGGCUCGUUCCUGACACUAAGGCACGAAAGCGUGGGUAGCAAACGGGAUUAGAUACCCCCGUAGUCC